GAUUUCUGGUUCGGCGCAUUUGGCCCGCCUCGGUUUACGGGGUUGUGUGCCGGUUUGCGCCAUCCAUCCUUCAUGUGAACGAUCCUACCCUUCAUUGGGCGGGGUCGCUGAUCAUGAUCUUUUACUUUGAAAAAAUUAGAGUGUUUAAAGCAGGCUUGCGCUAUGAAUACAUUAGCAUGGAAUAAUAAUUUAGGACUUUGGUCUUAUUUUGUUGGUUUCUAGGACUAAAGUAAUGAUUGAUAGGGAUAGUUGGGGGUGCUAGUAUUCAGCGGCCAGAGGUGAAAUUCUUGGAUUCGCUGAAGACUAACUUAUGCGAAAGCAUU
RNAcentral lists this ribosomal RNA (323 nucleotides) under Cercomonadidae sp. RNAcentral's name for it is "SSU rRNA". The stretch from base 62 to 323 matches the Rfam family "Eukaryotic small subunit ribosomal RNA", at positions 692 to 955 of the family's 1831-position model. The record is from RNAcentral. Lineage: Eukaryota; Cercozoa; Cercomonadida; Cercomonadidae.